RNAcentral lists this ribosomal RNA (744 nucleotides) under Streptomyces misionensis. Its description in RNAcentral is "bacterial SSU rRNA". It matches the Rfam family "Bacterial small subunit ribosomal RNA", at positions 33 to 792 of the family's 1533-position model. Lineage: Bacteria; Bacillati; Actinomycetota; Actinomycetes; Kitasatosporales; Streptomycetaceae. The record is from RNAcentral.
AAGUGGGGGGCGUGCUUACACAUGCAAGUCGAACGAUGAAGCCCUUCGGGGUGGAUUAGUGGCGAACGGGUGAGUAACACGUGGGCAAUCUGCCCUGCACUCUGGGACAAGCCCUGGAAACGGGGUCUAAUACCGGAUAUUGACCAUCUUGGGCAUCCUUGAUGGUGGAAAGCUCCGGCGGUGCAGGAUGAGCCCGCGGCCUAUCAGCUUGUUGGUGAGGUAAUGGCUCACCAAGGCGACGACGGGUAGCCGGCCUGAGAGGGCGACCGGCCACACUGGGACUGAGACACGGCCCAGACUCCUACGGGAGGCAGCAGUGGGGAAUAUUGCACAAUGGGCGAAAGCCUGAUGCAGCGACGCCGCGUGAGGGAUGACGGCCUUCGGGUUGUAAACCUCUUUCAGCAGGGAAGAAGCGAAAGUGACGGUACCUGCAGAAGAAGCGCCGGCUAACUACGUGCCAGCAGCCGCGGUAAUACGUAGGGCGCGAGCGUUGUCCGGAAUUAUUGGGCGUAAAGAGCUCGUAGGCGGCUUGUCACGUCGGUUGUGAAAGCCCGGGGCUUAACCCCGGGUCUGCAGUCGAUACGGGCAGGCUAGAGUUCGGUAGGGGAGAUCGGAAUUCCUGGUGUAGCGGUGAAAUGCGCAGAUAUCAGGAGGAACACCGGUGGCGAAGGCGGAUCUCUGGGCCGAUACUGACGCUGAGGAGCGAAAGCGUGGAGGAAAAAAAAGAAAAAAAGGGGUUUGGUG